UGAAGGCGCCUUCUAACGCCACGCGUUAAGAACUAUAACUAACAGGCCGACAAUGUUGUCGGCCUUUUUUUUGGAUGCA
RNAcentral lists this small RNA (79 nucleotides) under Pantoea ananatis. RNAcentral describes it as "suhB". Lineage: Bacteria; Pseudomonadati; Pseudomonadota; Gammaproteobacteria; Enterobacterales; Erwiniaceae. The record is from RNAcentral.